UGCAUAUUUUUUCCAUCAAUUUCCCCUUUUGUUGUUGGUACGCUUGGUAUUGUGUGUGGUGGGGGUAUUUAACGCAUCUGCCUCCGGUUCCGUCCACAUUUCUUAAAGCCAGAUUCUCCCAUUCUGGUGGGCCGAGGCGUCGGACGCGCACGGCCAAGAUGGUGAACAACCGGAUACCCUCGGUCUUCAGUAAGACCUAUGUUACUCCCAGGAGACCAUACGAGAAGGCUCGUCUCGACCAGGAACUUAAGAUCAUCGGCGAGUACGGUCUCCGUAACAAGCGUGAAGUAUGGAGAGUCAAGUACACCCUGGCUAAGAUCCGUAAGGCUGCCCGAGAACUUUUGACUCUGGAAGAGAAAGACCAGCGCCGUCUUUUCGAAGGUAACGCACUGCUGCGUCGUCUGGUGCGCAUUGGAGUCUUGGAUGAGUCUCGCAUGAAGCUUGAUUACGUCCUUGGUCUUAAGAUCGAAGAUUUCUUGGAAAGGCGUCUGCAGACCCAGGUGUUCAAACUUGGACUUGCCAAGUCUAUCCACCAUGCUCGAGUGCUGAUCCGUCAAAGACACAUCAGGCGGAUUACGAAGUGAAACCAAAUUCACUCUUCUCCUGACUGAUCAUUUAGGCCACUUAAGUGGAGCUUGCUCCCUUAACGCCCAUUACCCUGAUUGCAACUUCACUAGGGCCACUUGGUCAGAGCUUGCUCUACCUAUGCCUGAUUGCAUUACACUGGGAAGCAUGCACAUUGGAGAGUCCGCAAGCAGGUGGUUAACAUUCCCAGCUUUGUCGUGCGGUUGGACUCCCAGAAGCACAUCGACUUCUCCCUCAAGUCGCCCUUCGGUGGCGGCAGGCCUGGCCGUGUCAAGAGGAAGAACCUGCGCAAGGCUCAGGGAGGUGGCGGCGGCGGUGGUGAUGAGGAGGAAGAUUAAGCUAUGUGGAGCGCUGAUGCUCCAUUGUUUGAAUAAAUUUCUCCUUACACAA
This is an RNA transcript of Frankliniella occidentalis (western flower thrips), 975 nucleotides long. It is a transcript of the gene named 40S ribosomal protein S9, with no coding region annotated. The transcript is spliced from 5 exons. NCBI's taxonomy places the organism in Eukaryota, Metazoa, Arthropoda, Insecta, Thysanoptera, Thripidae. The record is from RefSeq and is a predicted model, not a curated record.